AUGGGAUCUGGUAACACUAAAUGAAAAUCACUUGAGAGCCGUCACUGAAACAUAAAAAUGGAAGGAAAUCUACCCACCAAUUUGUUCUUUCCACCAAGAAAAAAAAACCCCACAAAUGAAGAUGCCAUGUGUGGCAUCUUGAACUGCCACCAAACCACACCAGACACACAAAGGACUUACCUUCCAUACCUGGGCGCCAUCCCUCUGGCAGGAAAUGGGCACAAACAGAUGGCUUGUUCUCAUUUCCCAGGGACAAACCUUCAGGAACGCUCACUUUGCCCCGCUAUCCCCAUCGCUUGUCUCCACCUCUCUAAUCCCUGCGCCUCUCAACUGGCUCGGGACUGGUGUGAAGAGGAGCCCAAAUUAUUGGCAUGGGCGUUUGACUCUGAAGCAAUACUGCCAUAUCUGAGGAGGAUUGUUCACAAUUUUCUCAUAAGAAAAUUAGUAACUCAAAAUUAAAUUUUGAUAAACUGAAGAUUAAAAUGGCACACAGUAAAUGUGUUACAGAUGAAAAUUUG
This 518-nucleotide long non-coding RNA is filed under the name Equus caballus (horse). Its description in RNAcentral is "lncRNA (ENSECAG00000049583.1)". Lineage: Eukaryota; Metazoa; Chordata; Mammalia; Perissodactyla; Equidae. The record is from RNAcentral.